Molecule: non-coding RNA, 83 nt
Organism: Mus musculus (house mouse)
Lineage: Eukaryota; Metazoa; Chordata; Mammalia; Rodentia; Muridae
Source: Rfam
ACUGGGAUGGCUGAGUGGUUAAGGCCUUGGACUUUAGAUCCAAUGGGCGGAUGCCUGCGUGGGUUCAAACCCCACUCCCAGUA